RNAcentral lists this transfer RNA (83 nucleotides) under Bacteroides sp. RNAcentral describes it as "tRNA-Ser". It matches the Rfam family "tRNA". Rfam says of the family: Transfer RNA (tRNA) molecules are approximately 80 nucleotides in length. Their secondary structure includes four short double-helical elements and three loops (D, anti-codon, and T loops). Lineage: Bacteria; Pseudomonadati; Bacteroidota; Bacteroidia; Bacteroidales; Bacteroidaceae. The record is from RNAcentral.
GGAGAGUUGGCAGAGUGGUCUAAUGCGGCGGUCUUGAAAACCGUUGAAUUAAUUUUCCGGGGGUUCGAAUCCCUCACUCUCCG